This 64-nucleotide transfer RNA is filed under the name Cerambycidae sp. 7 KM-2017. RNAcentral describes it as "tRNA-Tyr". Lineage: Eukaryota; Metazoa; Arthropoda; Insecta; Coleoptera; Cerambycidae. The record is from RNAcentral.
GAUAGGAUGGCUGAGUCAUAGGCAAUAAAUUGUAAAUUUAUCAACGAAAUUUUUUCUCUUAUCA